This 253-nucleotide ribosomal RNA is filed under the name uncultured bacterium. RNAcentral describes it as "partial 16S ribosomal RNA". It matches the Rfam family "Bacterial small subunit ribosomal RNA", at positions 524 to 776 of the family's 1533-position model. The record is from RNAcentral.
UACGGAGGCAGCAAGCGUUGUUCGGAAUUACUGAGCGUAAAGGGUGCGUAGGCGGUUGGCUAAGUUUGGUGUGAAAUCUCCCGGCUUAACCGGGGGGGUGCGCCGAAAACUGGCUGGCUAGAGUGUGGGAGAGGGAAGUGGAAUUCCUGGUGUAGCGGUGAAAUGCGUAGAUAUCAGGAGGAACACCUGAGGUGUAGACGGCUUCCUGGACCAUUACUGACGCUGAGGCACGAAAGCGUGGGGAGCAAACAGG